Molecule: ribosomal RNA, 496 nt
Filed under: Gyrineum gyrinum
Lineage: Eukaryota; Metazoa; Mollusca; Gastropoda; Littorinimorpha; Ranellidae
Description: partial 16S ribosomal RNA
Rfam family: Bacterial large subunit ribosomal RNA
Source: RNAcentral
AUGGGGAGUCGGACCUGCCCAGUGAAUAAUUUUUAAACGGCCGCGGUACUCUGACCGUGCAAAGGUAGCAUAAUCAUUUGCCCUAUAAUUGAGGGCUAGUAUGAAUGGUUUGACAAGAAUAAAGCUGUCUCCAUACAAUUUUAUAGAAUUUUAUUUUUAGGUGAAGAAGCCUAGAUAUUAUUAAAAGACAAGAAGACCCUAUCGAGCUUUAAAACAGUUGAUUAGUUAGUGUUAUAUAUUAAAUAAAACAAUAUUUAUCAAAUAUUUUGGUUGGGGCGACUAAGGAACAAAUAAAGCUUCUUUAACAUAAAUUAACAACAAACAAGUAAUGAUCCAAAAAAUUUUGAUCAAAGAAAUUAGUUACCGUAGGGAUAACAGCAUUAUCUUUUUUGAGAGCCCAUAUCGAAAAAAAGGUUUGUGACCUCGAUGUUGGACCAGAAUAUCCUGAAGAUGCAGAAGUCUUUAAGGGUUGGUCUGUUCGACCAUUAAAAUUCUA